UACGAAGGGGGCUAGCGUUGUUCGGAAUUACUGGGCGUAAAGCGCACGUAGGCGGCUUGUUAAGUCGGGGGUGAAAUCCUGGAGCUCAACUCCAGAACUGCCCUUGAUACUGGCGGGCUCGAGUCCGGGAGAGGUGAGUGGAACUGCGAGUGUAGAGGUGAAAUUCGUAGAUAUUCGCAAGAACACCAGUGGCGAAGGCGGCUCACUGGCCCGGUACUGACGCUGAGGUGCGAAAGCGUGGGGAGCAAACAGG
Molecule: ribosomal RNA, 253 nt
Filed under: uncultured bacterium
Lineage: Bacteria
Description: partial 16S ribosomal RNA
Rfam family: Bacterial small subunit ribosomal RNA
Source: RNAcentral